UCCACAUUGUGAGGUGGGUCCUACAAAUACGUAUCUUAAAUAACUCAACUUAAGAGCCGUCAAAGUUAAUUGUAAAGUAAAAAUUAUGGUAUUUGUGAAACUUAAAUGUAAAGUGAAAAUUAUCUUGUGAAAAUGGUCAUGUAGUCACAAUACCAUGUUUCGUUGAUGGGUAAAAUUUCAUGAGAAAGUGAUUGCAAUAGUAACGAUAGAUAUGUGAUAGGCUUGAUAGUACG
RNAcentral lists this long non-coding RNA (233 nucleotides) under Prunus persica (peach). RNAcentral's name for it is "long non-coding RNA (PPER_LNC000209)". Lineage: Eukaryota; Viridiplantae; Streptophyta; Magnoliopsida; Rosales; Rosaceae. The record is from RNAcentral.